Molecule: ribosomal RNA, 251 nt
Filed under: uncultured bacterium
Lineage: Bacteria
Description: partial 16S ribosomal RNA
Rfam family: Bacterial small subunit ribosomal RNA
Source: RNAcentral
GACGGGGGGGGCAAGUGUUCUUCGGAAUGACUGGGCGUAAAGGGCCCGUAGGCGGUGAAUCGGGUUGAAGGUGAAAGUCGCCAAAAAGUGGCGGAAUGCUCUCGAAACCAAUUCACUUGAGUGAGACAGAGGAGAGUGGAAUUUCGUGUGUAGGGGUGAAAUCCGUAGAUCUACGAAGGAACGCCAAAAGCGAAGGCAGCUCUCUGGGUCCCUACCGACGCUGGGGUGCGAAAGCAUGGGGAGCGAACAGG